UGGGGAAUAUUGCACAAUGGGCGCAAGCCUGAUGCAGCGACGCCGCGUGGGGGAUGACGGCCUUCGGGUUGUAAACUCCUUUCGCUAGGGACGAAGCUUUUUGUGACGGUACCUAGAUAAGAAGCACCGUCUAACUACGUGCCAGCAGCCGCGGUAAUACGUAGGGUGCGAGCGUUGUCCGGAAUUACUGGGCGUAAAGGGCUCGUAGGUGGUUUGUCGCGUCGUCUGUGAAAUUCCGGGGCUUAACUCCGGGCGUGCAGGCGAUACGGGCAUAACUUGAGUACUGUAGGGGUAACUGGAAUUCCUGGUGUAGCGGUGAAAUGCGCAGAUAUCAGGAGGAACACCGAUGGCGAAGGCAGGUUACUGGGCAGUUACUGACGCUGAGGAGCGAAAGCAUGGGUAGCGAACAGG
This 411-nucleotide ribosomal RNA is filed under the name Actinomycetes bacterium. Its description in RNAcentral is "Actinobacteria bacterium partial 16S ribosomal RNA". It matches the Rfam family "Bacterial small subunit ribosomal RNA", at positions 355 to 776 of the family's 1533-position model. Lineage: Bacteria; Bacillati; Actinomycetota; Actinomycetes. The record is from RNAcentral.